AUGAACAGGACAUGCACACACACAUAUAUACACACCCCACACCCCACAUACACACAAGUACACACACACACCACACACAUAUACACACAGCACAUACACACCAGUACACACGAACAUACACCACGCAUAUACACACCACACACAGACACCAUACACAUAUAUACACCCCACAUCGCACAUACACACAAGUACACACACACACCACACACAUAUACACACAGCACAUACACACCAGUACACACGAACAUACACCACGCAUAUACACACCACACACAGACACCAUACACAUAUAUACACCCCACACCCCACAUACACACAAGUACACGCACAAACACACCACGCACAUAUACACACCACACACACAAGUACACACACAAAUGUACCUCAUACACAUACACACCACACAAAGUACACACACGAACACAUACCACACACAUAUACACCACACACCCCACAUACACACAAGUACACACACACACCACACACAUAUACACACAGCACAUACACACCAGUACACACGAACAUACACCACACAUAUACACACCACACACAGACACCAUACACAUAUAUACACCCCACACCGCACAUACACACAAGUACACGCACAAACACACCACGCACAUAUACACACCACACACACAAGUACACACACAAAUGUACCUCAUACACAUACACACCACACAAAGUACACACACGAACACAUACCACACACAUAUACACCACACACCCCACAUACACACAAGUACACACACACACCACACACAUAUACACACAGCACAUACACACCAGUACACACGAACAUACACCACGCAUAUACACACCACACACAAACACCAUACACAUAUAUACACCCCACACCGCACAUACACACAAGUACACACACAAACACACCACGCACAUAUACACACCACACACACAAGUACACACACAAAUGUACCUCAUACACAUACACACCACACAAAGUACACACCCGAACACAUACCACACACAUAUACACCACACACCCCACAUACACACAAGUACACACACACAACCAUGCACAUAUACACACCACACACAAGUACACACACCACACAUAUACACACAACACACAAGCACACACAUAUACACACCACACAACACAUACAAGCACACACACACCACACACAUAUACACGCAACACACAACACACACAAGUGCACACACACACCCCAGACACACACACACACACCCCUCUCACACCAAUACACACACCACAGAAACAUACCACACACACACACUACACACACACAAAGGGGUCGUGGAAGGUUCACUGACUGGGCUUUCACUGAAACUCUGGUGAGGCCCCCUGUGCAGUGGCCCACGCCUGUGAUGCCCGCGCUUUGGGAGGCUCAGGUGGUUGGGUCGCUUGAGCCCGGGAGGUCGAGGCUGCAGUGA
RNAcentral lists this long non-coding RNA (1416 nucleotides) under Callithrix jacchus (white-tufted-ear marmoset). Its description in RNAcentral is "lncRNA (ENSCJAG00000077782.1)". Lineage: Eukaryota; Metazoa; Chordata; Mammalia; Primates; Cebidae. The record is from RNAcentral.